Molecule: ribosomal RNA, 209 nt
Filed under: Lepus castroviejoi (Broom Hare)
Lineage: Eukaryota; Metazoa; Chordata; Mammalia; Lagomorpha; Leporidae
Description: partial 16S ribosomal RNA
Source: RNAcentral
UAUGGAGCUUUAAUUAUUUAAUUCAAUAUUUUCACAACUUCACUCCACAGGAGCUUAACCAAGAAAAUCUCUGAAUUAAAAAUUUUGGUUGGGGUGACCUCGGAGCAAAAACCAACCUCCGAAUGAUUAAAGCCUAGACUCAACAAGUCAAAGCAUUAAAAAUCACAAAUUGACCCAAACCCUUUUGAUCAACGGAACAAGUUACCCUA